This 302-nucleotide ribosomal RNA is filed under the name uncultured bacterium. RNAcentral's name for it is "partial 16S ribosomal RNA". It matches the Rfam family "Bacterial small subunit ribosomal RNA", at positions 508 to 807 of the family's 1533-position model. The record is from RNAcentral.
GCAGUCGCCGCGGUAAUACGGAGGGAGCUAGCGUUGUUCGGAAUUACUGGGCGUAAAGCGCACGUAGGCGGCUUUGUAAGUUAGAGGUGAAAGCCUGGAGCUCAACUCCAGAAUUGCCUUUAAGACUGCAUCGCUUGAAUCCAGGAGAGGUGAGUGGAAUUCCGAGUGUAGAGGUGAAAUUCGUAGAUAUUCGGAAGAACACCAGUGGCGAAGGCGGCUCACUGGACUGGUAUUGACGCUGAGGUGCGAAAGCGUGGGGAGCAAACAGGAUUAGAUACCCCUGUAGUCCCUGUCUCUUAUAC